Molecule: transfer RNA, 748 nt
Filed under: Bradyrhizobium sp.
Lineage: Bacteria; Pseudomonadati; Pseudomonadota; Alphaproteobacteria; Hyphomicrobiales; Nitrobacteraceae
Description: partial contains 16S ribosomal RNA, 16S-23S ribosomal RNA intergenic spacer, and 23S ribosomal RNA
Rfam family: tRNA (bases 166-239)
Source: RNAcentral
CCAACAGAUCGCCAGAUCGUUGAGCUCCAUAGGCGGGAUUUCGCCGUCUUCGUUUCUCUUUCUUCGCGGACGAACACGCGCCAGGGGCUGCGCUGUGCGACGCGUCUGGCGCUUAGUCGGAUGCGGGCCAGGCAAGCCUCGAUCCCUCGAGUGGGGAGAGCGUAGGGGCUUGUAGCUCAGUUGGUUAGAGCGCGCGCUUGAUAAGCGUGAGGUCGGAAGUUCAAGUCUUCCCAGGCCCACCACUUCAUCGAGCGCGUGCGUCUCUCAAGGCUUCUGCCGUAGCAUUCGUCUUCUGGUUACGGGGCCAUAGCUCAGCUGGGAGAGCGCGUGCUUUGCAAGCAUGAGGUCGUCGGUUCGAUCCCGUCUGGCUCCACCAGAUGAAUUCGAAGAUCGACGCGGCAUGCUGCUGCGAUUGUCCUUCGUCCGCGAAACAUCAAUUCGCAUGCAUCAUUCGCAAUCGAAUAUGCACUGCGUGUUUUCUGACAUCGUAAAGAGGAGAUCGAUCCGAGUUGGGUCGCAUGGAAAUUCUAUGCGCAUCCUUCACUAUCUCCGGGUCAUUUCGGCGCUCGCAGGUCGCAAGAUCAGCGGGUUGUAAAUGACUCUGUUAGCGAAGCCUGACCGCCUCGCUAUCGGUUCGAUCUUACGAAGCAAGCUGGUCUUUCUAAUCAGUGUCCGCUGCACGAGCUCUCCUGGUGAAGGUUCGUGCGGUAUGCAUUCUGCCGAGUGUGUGGACAUUGAUAAUGAGAGC